GCUUUUAUAGGAGGGUUAGUUACCCCCGGCAGAGGGACAGGUUACUAGCAGGGAGAGACAGUAACACACAGUGACAGACAUGGUGACACACAGUCAGAAUCAGACUCAUAGUUGUGUUUCACCUCUCAGGCUUGGCAGGACCCAAAUGUACAGUGUAUCAUAGAACUUAGAAUAGAUGUGAGAAAUGAUUGAAGUCCUCAGAUACUUUUGUAGCUUUAUGUAGCCUCAAUUCUUAUCUAGUUAGAAAAAUUGGAAUAUGUUAUUUUUUGUACCUACAUACAGAUCAAACAAAAUGGAUGUAUUUCAUAACAUAGAAAUGGAAUCAGGUUUUAGGAGUUGUACUUCGUGUAUUUAGACACUAGCUAGAAUUCACAAACUGUACGUUUAAUCCACAACAUGUAGGCUGUAUUUCUUUUCAGAGCUGAAGAAAAAAAUUUGUAAAUAUUACAUUGUGGCAUUGGUCUGAUGUCAACAGGCCUGAAAAAUUCUCAAUAUCAUUGAAUUCCAUGUUAUUCCAAUAAAACUUAUUUAAGAAUAGUUUAACACUCAUAUCAGAGUUGUGUUAAAAAUUGGUGGGAUUCAUGUACAUGUAUUUGUAGUUUAUAGAAUGACUUAGGUUUUUUGGCAUAAAAUGUGUAUUUUGUUACAAUUACAUUCUAUCAUGUCAGCAUUUAAAUAAUUUCCUGUUUCUGUUACUUAAUACGUGUAUUUCAUUAUACUGGUUAAACAAUGAAGGAGCAGUAAUUCAUUGUUUGUAGAGAGGAUAUGUCCACGCUUUAACUCAUUUUUUAUUGCAAAUUUGUUUGAAGUAGAACUAGUAAGAGAUUUCCGCAAGACUAUGUAUGUACUUGUCCUAAAAACAUCAAAAAACAACCACCAGAUUUGAUUUAAUUCUUUCUAAUUUAUUUCUGAUUGAAAAACCCCACUGAAUUAGUCAAGUCAAUUACACAUUCGCUGGGCAAGGGUAGCUUGAAGUAUAUCAAGUACUUCAUCCUGUGCUUUUUCGAUACAUAAAAGCAAUGACGUUGACACAUUUGGUACUAGAAGCCUGGAACUCUGCUUGGAAAAUCUUGAGUUGGUGUUGAUACAAAAUGUUACAUGAGCGAAUUCUUUUGGAUUAUUAGGUGGGGGUUGGUGAAUUAAAUAAGAACCAGGUUCCUGUCAAAAGUACACCAAGCAGCUAGGCUCAGAGUUUUGGCAACGUUUUAAGAUAGUCAACACUUGUUUUCAGGAAAUCGAAAUAGUUAUUAGGGGAGGGCUAGUCCAGUGUUUAGUUUUACAGUUUCUGGUCCUUUGGAAAGCUUUCAAGUUGUGACUUUUUUUGAGUGUUUUAAAUUUCUAUGUGUACAUUUAUGUUAAUUGAUUAUUGUAGCAGUUUCGUGCUUUGUUGAUGAAUGUAAAAUCAUACAAGCACAUUGUGAGCCUCUUGUUUUUUCUUUCAGUGUUUUUUUUUUUUGGAAAUUGAGUGGAAUUAUUUUAAUUUAAUUAUCUGAUAGCAUAUUUACACCAGACUUUUAAAAAUAAUGAACUAACUCAAAGCUUUGUGGUUUCAGGCAUUGCAUGGUAUACAUGUAGAUUGCACUUUUAGAUUAUGUGUAAACGUAGGUUAAGUCAAUAGAGCAGAAAUUGGUUGUCAACCCUAGUGAAAGAUGUAAUAGUACAUUUUAACUAAGGAAAGCAUGAUAUGUUUUUUUAUACUUGUAUAUAUAAUAGGACUAGGUUGAUUAAUGUUAGCAUAUUUCAGUUCUUUAUACAGCAGCCACAUUGUAGCAUGUGUACCUUUUAAUGUUUACUUGAGUAAUUACAUGUAGCUCUUUCCUAUCCAUGGACAAAAUAUUUGACAAAUUGUGCAUGUAAAUUCUUUUCUUUUAGAACCACACAUGUGCAUACAUUCAAGUAUAUGAAUUCAAUGGGCAGCUGUGUAGACCUUAAACAUGUUCAACUUUAUUCAGACCGAAGACAAGUCAUCAUACUUAAAAUGUUUAAACAUGGAAAUUACCGAGGCAUAUACAUAUAGUUUUGUACUUUACCUCUGAUUUUGAUGUGUCAGUGGAAACUGAAUAUCUCUGGUGGUGGAAAUGUUUUCUUAAAUGCUUUUCUUGACUUUUUUUUAAUAGAGAUUAGAUACUAGUAUGUACAUUACGAGGAAAAUAUUUGAAUGUGUGGGAAAAAAAGUUAUGUAAUCAUUCUUUUAGUAAGUCUUUGUGUUUUGAUGGCCAAGCACUCGGAAUAAAUGCCAGUGUGCUAAUAUUUAUGUAAAACAUACUUUUAGAGGUAUCAAUUAUUACAGAGGUAUUAGCUUGAAUCACUGAUGUCGGACAACUUACAUUUGAUAAAUCUUAGUUGAAUGAGCAGAUAGUGGUUUAAUAAGGCUUGUUUCAUCUUGGGGCAGAUGCCAUACUUGCCUAGAACACGCUGAGGAUGAGACAUAUGCAGAUUAGCCAUUCGUAUAGGUAGCCACAGUACUGCUGUACAUCAUGGUGGGAGAUUGCACAUGAAUGUGGUGUGUGAGGCCGUUGCCAAAGCUUCUGGCCUCCAUUAAUCAACCAUACUGUUUGUUCGUAGCUGGAAAUAGAACAGAGACAUGAGGAUGAUGUCCAUGACUACUGUCUGAUCCAAUUCCAGAGGCUGGUGGAUCGCAAACCACAUGCAGUUACUCAUUGAUCAGUGAACAUCCGCGACAUCUGCUGAGCAUCAUGCAUCACGAGGACAGACUGGGGGCUACGGUGUUCAGUCAGUUAGCCGAAUGAUUUCUUCAAUCCGCACCACCCUACUACAAAAAGACUUCAUAAAAUGUGUGUGUGUGUUUUUUUUUAUUUUUUUAUUUAGCUCAAUAUAAUUUAAGGGAGAUACCACACUGAAAAAAGUGAAAACCUCAUGUUGGUCAAGGUUGACAUUAUCUUGCAACUUGCAUGGGGAAGAUCAGGUGGCAAAAAUAUUCUCUGGUACAUUUGGGAGAUAUGUUGAAAAAAAAUAAUUGUAAAUUUACCACAAAAAUAACUAUAUAUAUUUUGGAGAACAUUCUGUCGGUCAUCAAGAUAAUUUAUGGGUCGGUGAUUUGAAAAUAAUGAAAUUAGUCACAUGCCCAACCUUCCCCUUUUUUCUCAUUUGUUUUCUUUUAGUGCAUAAUUUAUAGCUAAGGCCAAGUUCGGGCAAGGACCAUUAGUCGACUAGUGGUCGAUU
Molecule: long non-coding RNA, 3183 nt
Filed under: Patiria miniata (bat star)
Lineage: Eukaryota; Metazoa; Echinodermata; Asteroidea; Valvatida; Asterinidae
Description: uncharacterized LOC119744795
Source: RNAcentral